Stegodyphus dumicola is the source of this 978-nucleotide RNA transcript. RefSeq lists it as uncharacterized. The record is from RefSeq and is a predicted model, not a curated record. Lineage: Eukaryota; Metazoa; Arthropoda; Arachnida; Araneae; Eresidae.
CGUAAUUUAAAAUCUGAAACAUUUCAGAUUUUUUUUUUUUCCAUUGUUUAACGUUAUCACAUUCCGUUAAUGUUGUCAAAUUUGUAGUGGAUGAAUGGAUCGUAUUAAGCGGGGUCUACUACACCUAAUUCAUCAACAUGGAUUUAUCUUCGAAUCAUAUUUCUGCACGAAAGAAAAGCUCAGUUGCAUAGAUCAUAAGUACCCAAAAUAUUGUAGUGCCGAUCGCUUGGAGCUGUGAUGAAAACCAGAUGCCGUGACGUCAUUCUCUCUACGAGCUGCGAAGGCGCCAAGCAAAAAUUAGGGAAAUUACCGUUUUGAGAUGAUAGACGAUAGACGUGGAAAGCAGAGAUGCUGCUUCUGUUCAAAAAGAACUUUGACGAAUCAUUACUUGUUUAAUUCUCUUAAAUGUUAAAUUUAUGUAAUAAUCGUUUGUCUAAUUAAAAUGUCUUUCGUUAAUUAAUUUGUUCAUCGUUUAAAAUCCCCACAAAAAUUUUCUCAGAAGUGGGAUAGCACUUCAGCACUCGAAUGAACUGUAGUUUUACCUGCUUUCUCCUGGAUUACUACCGGUUUUGAAGAACAACUGUUGCUGUUCUGGACUGUUUUGCAAUGUAUAAUCAACUAUGUUUCGAACAAAAACCUCAUCAAACUCCUAGGAAUGUAUGCUGAUUUACCUGAACUGAAACUGCGUAAUAGUGAGUAAAUAGUGUGCGGCUCUAUUAAGGACUGGAAUUAAUUUUAAUAAUACUGGAUGUCAAGUGUCAAGACGUGAAUUGUGGCCAAAAAUCCAUCGGACAUAAUCUGUUUGUACUCGCCUCUUGUCGACAGCAUUUGUGAUCCAUUGGAUGGUAUGGAAGUAAUUUGUUUCGUUUCUGUUUCCGGAUUAUAGAGCCAGGAACAUCGUGGAUUACCAUUAUAUGAAUGUCCUGGAGGGCCAGUCCACCCUCGGAUGGCCGAAAUGUAGUGCCGAUCGCUUGGAGC